RNAcentral lists this ribosomal RNA (341 nucleotides) under Triticum aestivum (bread wheat). RNAcentral describes it as "rRNA LSU_rRNA_eukarya". It matches the Rfam family "Bacterial large subunit ribosomal RNA", at positions 1691 to 2035 of the family's 2925-position model. Lineage: Eukaryota; Viridiplantae; Streptophyta; Magnoliopsida; Poales; Poaceae. The record is from RNAcentral.
CGAGACAACUCUCUCUAAGGAACUCGGCAAAAUAGCCCCGUAACUUCGGGAGAAGGGGUGCCCCCUCACAAAAGGGGGCCGCGGUGACCAGGCCUGGGCGACUGUUUACCAAAAACACAGGUCUUCGCAAAGUUGUAAGACCAUGUAUGGGGGCUGAUGCCUGCCCAGUUCUGGAAGGUCAAGGAAGUUGGUGAACUGAUGACAGGGAAGCCGGCGACCGAAGCCCCGGUGAACGGCGACCGUAACUAUAACGGUCCUAAGGUAGUGAAAUUCCUUGUCGGGUAAGUUCCGACCCGCAUGAAAGGUGUAAUGAUCUGGGCACUGUCUCGGAGAGAGGCUCG